Amoeboaphelidium occidentale is the source of this 82-nucleotide non-coding RNA. The record is from the annotation of a GenBank genome assembly. Lineage: Eukaryota; Fungi; Aphelidiomycota; Aphelidea.
GACACUUUGGCCGAGUGGUCAAGGCGGUUGCCUGCUAAGCAAUUGGGUUCUGCCCGCGCAAGUUCGAAUCUUGUGAGUGUCG